Long non-coding RNA from Lampris incognitus (smalleye Pacific opah), 220 nucleotides. RefSeq lists it as uncharacterized. The transcript has 3 exons. Lineage: Eukaryota; Metazoa; Chordata; Actinopteri; Lampriformes; Lampridae. The record is from RefSeq and is a predicted model, not a curated record.
UCUCAUCCCGUCCUGCGGAGAAAGGGUGGAGUGUGAGUGGAAAUGCAAGGGCAUUCUUGGGGCCGGACGCCAUAUCUGCUGUCCGCCCACCGCCUGGCUCACAUGAUAUAAGUUCCUCCGUUGUGGUCCAACACCGUGGCUUGACUCACCAGACCCCCACGGACCCACCAGACCCCCACGGACUCACCAGACCUCCGCGGCGCAGGAGAGACACAUCCCA